Molecule: ribosomal RNA, 447 nt
Filed under: uncultured bacterium
Lineage: Bacteria
Description: partial 16S ribosomal RNA
Rfam family: Bacterial small subunit ribosomal RNA
Source: RNAcentral
AACGAACGCUGGCGGCAGGCUUAACACAUGCAAGUCGAACGCCCCGCAAGGGGAGUGGCAGACGGGUGAGUAACGCGUGGGAAUCUACCCGAUUCUACGGAAUAACCCAGGGAAACUUGGACUAAUACCGUAUACGCCCUACGGGGGAAAGAUUUAUCGGAAUUGGAUGAGCCCGCGUAAGAUUAGCUAGUUGGUGGGGUAAUGGCCUACCAAGGCGACGAUCUUUAGCUGGUCUGAGAGGAUGAUCAGCCACACUGGGACUGAGACACGGCCCAGACUCCUACGGGAGGCAGCAGUGGGGAAUAUUGGACAAUGGGCGCAAGCCUGAUCCAGCCAUGCCGCGUGAGUGAUGAAGGCCUUAGGGUUGUAAAGCUCUUUCAGUGGGGAAGAUAAUGACGGUACCCACAGAAGAAGCCCCGGCUAACUUCGUGCCAGCAGCCGCCGUAA